UACGAGGGAUGCAAGCGUUAUCCGGAAUUAUUGGGCGUAAAGCGUUUGUAGGCGGGCGAGUGUGUUUAAUGUUAAAUCUUAAAGCUCAACUUUGAAAUUGCGUUAAAAACUGCUUGUCUUGAGUAUGGUAGGGGUAAAGGGAAUUCCCAGUGUAGCGGUGAAAUGCGUAGAUAUCGGGAAGAACACCAGUGGCGAAAGCGCGCAACUGGGCCAUUACUGACACUGAGGGACGAAAGCUAGGGGAGCGAAGGGG
This 253-nucleotide ribosomal RNA is filed under the name uncultured bacterium. RNAcentral's name for it is "partial 16S ribosomal RNA". It matches the Rfam family "Bacterial small subunit ribosomal RNA", at positions 524 to 776 of the family's 1533-position model. The record is from RNAcentral.